RNAcentral lists this ribosomal RNA (468 nucleotides) under uncultured bacterium. RNAcentral describes it as "partial 16S ribosomal RNA". It matches the Rfam family "Bacterial small subunit ribosomal RNA", at positions 28 to 507 of the family's 1533-position model. The record is from RNAcentral.
GACGAACGCUGGCGGCGUGCUUAACACAUGCAAGUCGAACGGAAAAGCCCUGCUUUUGUGGGGUGCUCGAGUGGCGAACGGGUGAGUAACACGUGAGUAACCUGCCCUUGACUUUGGGAUAACUUCAGGAAACUGGGGCUAAUACCGGAUAGGAGCUCCUGCUGCAUGGUGGGGGUUGGAAAGUUUCGGCGGUCGGGGAUGGACUCGCGGCUUAUCAGCUUGUUGGUGGGGUAGUGGCUUACCAAGGCUUUGACGGGUAGCCGGCCUGAGAGGGUGACCGGCCACAUUGGGACUGAGAUACGGCCCAGACUCCUACGGGAGGCAGCAGUGGGGAAUAUUGCACAAUGGGCGGAAGCCUGAUGCAGCAACGCCGCGUGCGGGAUGACGGCCUUCGGGUUGUAAACCGCUUUCGCCUGUGACGAAGCGUGAGUGACGGUAAUGGGUAAAGAAGCACCGGCUAACUACGUG